This 20-nucleotide non-coding RNA is filed under the name Arabidopsis thaliana (thale cress). The record is from RNAcentral. Lineage: Eukaryota; Viridiplantae; Streptophyta; Magnoliopsida; Brassicales; Brassicaceae.
GGAAGUCGAUUGAUGACGUA